This 914-nucleotide ribosomal RNA is filed under the name uncultured bacterium. Its description in RNAcentral is "bacterial SSU rRNA". It matches the Rfam family "Bacterial small subunit ribosomal RNA", at positions 32 to 917 of the family's 1533-position model. The record is from RNAcentral.
AACGCUGGCGGCGUGCUUAACACAUGCAAGUCGAACAAGAAUUCUCGAAGCUUGCUCGAGAGAGUAAAGUGGCGAACGGAGUGAGUAACGCGUGGGUAACCUAUCCUUAAAUCUAGGAUAAUCUACCGAAAGGUGGCCUAAUACCGGAUACAAUCCCAAGAACCAUGGUUCUCGGGAUGAAAGCUGACCUCUUCACGAAAGUUGGCGUUUAAGGAGGGGCCCGCGUACCAUUAGCUUGUUGGUAGGGUAAAGGCCUACCAAGGCUACGAUGGUUAGCUGGUCUGAGAAGACGGCCAGCCACACUGGAACUGAAACACGGUCCAGACUCCUACGGGAGGCAGCAGUGAGGAAUCUUGCGCAAUGGGGAAAACCCUGACGCAGCGACGCCGCGUGAGUGAAGAAGGCCUUCGGGUCGUAAAGCUCUGUCAAGUGGGAAUAAAACUGUGCAUUUAAUAGGUGCAUGGUCUGAAGGUACCACUAAAGGAAGCACCGGCUAACUCCGUGCCAGCAGCCGCGGUAAUACGGAGGGUGCAGGCGUUAUUCGGAUUUAUUGGGCGUAAAGAGGGCGUAGGCGGUUUUUCAAGUCGAUUGUAAAAUCUCCCGGCUUAACUGGGAGGGGCCAGUCGAUACUGUUAGACUAGAGGGCAGCAGGGGGAGGUGGAAUUCCCGGUGUAGUGGUGAAAUGUGUAGAUAUCGGGAGGAACACCAGUGGCUAAAGCGGCCUCCAAGGCUGUUUCUGACGCUGAGGCCCGAAGGCGUGGGGAGCGAACAGGAUUAGAUACUCUGGUAGUCCACGCUGUAAACGAUGGAUACUAGGUAUGGGGGGUAUUGACCCCCUCCGUGCCGAAGCUAACGCGUUAAUUAUCCCGCCUGGGACUACGGCCGCAAGGCUAAAACUCAAAGGAAUUCGAACG